GACGAACGCUGGCGGCGUGCUUAACACAUGCAAGUCGAACGGAAAGGCCCUGCUUUUGUGGGGUGCUCGAGUGGCGAACGGGUGAGUAACACGUGAGUAACCUGCCCUUGACUUUGGGAUAACUUCAGGAAACUGGGGCUAAUACCGGAUAGGAGCUCCUGCUGCAUGGUGGGGUUGGAAAGUUUCGGCGGUUGGGGAUGGACUCGCGGCUUAUCAGCUUGUUGGUGGGGUAGUGGCUUACCAAGGCUUUGACGGGUAGCCGGCCUGAGAGGGUGACCGGCCACAUUGGGACUGAGAUACGGCCCAGACCCCUACGGGAGGCAGCAGUGGGGAAUAUUGCACAAUGGGCGGAAGCCUGAUGCAGCAACGCCGCGUGCGGGAUGACGGCCUUCGGGUUGUAAACCGCUUUCGCCUGUGACGAAGCGUGAGUGACGGUAAUGGGUAAAGAAGCACCGGCUAACUACGUG
RNAcentral lists this ribosomal RNA (467 nucleotides) under uncultured bacterium. RNAcentral describes it as "partial 16S ribosomal RNA". It matches the Rfam family "Bacterial small subunit ribosomal RNA", at positions 28 to 507 of the family's 1533-position model. The record is from RNAcentral.